UGGCCGGUGAUGGGCGUCGGCGCGCCGGUCAGCGGGUCGAAGCCGCCGCGGGUCUUCGGGAAGGCGAUGACCUCGCGGAUCGAGUCCGCGCCGGCCAGC
This 99-nucleotide transfer RNA is filed under the name Nonomuraea sp. TT08I-71. Its description in RNAcentral is "tRNA-Ser". The record is from RNAcentral. Lineage: Bacteria; Bacillati; Actinomycetota; Actinomycetes; Streptosporangiales; Streptosporangiaceae.